AUGGCGAGGGGAAUAGCGCGGGCGGCGUCGUUCGGCGGCCGCGCGACUGCGGCGGGGUGGUUCUCGUACCGGCGCAUCACCGUGGCCGUCUGCCUCGCCAACCUCGUCGUCGCGCUGCUCGUGCUCCGCUCCCUCACCUCCUUCGCCCCCGGGCCCAAACGGGUUGAGGUGGUGCAGUACACGGAGGAGCAGAUUAGGAGGGUGGAGGAGUCGAUCCGGAUUCGCCGCGAGGCCGAGCCCGUCGAGCUCGUCCAGGCGGUGAAGAAGCUGCAGAAGGUUUUUGCACGGGAGGAGAAAAGGCGGAAGGAGCUGCCUCUCGAGCUGAAGCUGAGGGUAUCGUAUGAGCUUGUGGGGCGGCUGAACAAGCUAGGGGAUAACGGCAGUGCCAUCCAGCAACGAGAAGCUUUGGAAUCAUGGCGUGUUGAGACGCUAAAAGAUGCAAAAAGUGCAUCUACACAGAAUUCAUCAAAUUUGGGCCUCUCCAGUGAGGAAGCACGAUUGUUAAAGCGAGCCCUGGAGUUCAACUGGCAUGGGCUAUUGGAGGAUAUUGGUCUUUGGAUUUCACCAGAAGUCCCACACACCGAGCAUGAUGACAAACCUGAGAAUGAACCAGAAGAAGAAGAAAUAAUAGCUGGUCCACCUUUGCAUCCACAAUGCAACACUGAGCUACAUGCCGAUUAUGGUGGCGCUGCUGUGAGAUGGGGAUUAACGCACCACAAAGAAUCUGCUGCUGAUUGUUGUCAAGCAUGUCUAGACCAGGCUAGGAAUGCCAAGCCAGGUGAAUUGAAGUGCAAUAUAUGGGUAUAUUGCCCAUCAGAGUUUGGUUGCUAUUCACCAGAUAAAUAUGAGCAUAAACAUCAGGAGUGCUGGUUGAAACAGGCUGACCAGCCUAAACUGAACUUCAAAGACAAGUAUUCCGAGUCUUACAGAGAUUCUCAUCCGAGAGCCCCUGUUGUUGUGCCCUGGAUGUCAGGUGUCACCAGCGCGUGA
Molecule: ribosomal RNA, 990 nt
Filed under: Triticum aestivum (bread wheat)
Lineage: Eukaryota; Viridiplantae; Streptophyta; Magnoliopsida; Poales; Poaceae
Description: partial small subunit ribosomal RNA
Source: RNAcentral